RNAcentral lists this ribosomal RNA (316 nucleotides) under uncultured eukaryote. Its description in RNAcentral is "partial large subunit ribosomal RNA". It matches the Rfam family "Eukaryotic large subunit ribosomal RNA", at positions 40 to 350 of the family's 3401-position model. The record is from RNAcentral.
AUAUCAAUAAGCGGAGGAAAAGAAACUAACAAGUAUUCCCCCAGUAACGGCGAGUGAAGCGGGAGAAGCUCAAUUUGAAAAUCGACUACCUAAACGGGUCGUCGAAUUGUAGCCUAUAGACGUACUAUCAGCUGAAACCUGGGUAUAAGUUCUUUGGAAUGAGGCAUCAUAGAGGGUGAGAAUCCCGUGUAUGACCCAAAGCUUUCAGCGUACGAUGUAUGUUCCUCGAGUCGAGUUGUUUGGGAUUGCAGCUCUAAAUGGGUCGUAAGUUUGAUCUAAAGCUAAAUAAUGGCGAGAGACCGAUAGCGCACAAGUA